UCCUGGCUCAGAUUGAUCGCUGGCGGCAUGCUUUACACAUGCAAGUCGAACGGCAGCACGAAAGAGCUUGCUCUUUUGGUGGCGAGUGGCGAACGGGUGAGUAAUACAUUGGAACGUACCGAGUAAUGGGGGAUAACUGUCCGAAAGGAUGGCUAAUACCGCAUACGCUCUGAGGAGGAAAGCGGGGGACCUUCGGGCCUCGCGUUAUUCGAGCGGCCAAUGUCUGAUUAGCUAGUUGGUGGGGUAAAGGCCUACCAAGGCGACGAUCAGUAGUGGGUCUGAGAGGAUGAUCCGCCACACUGGGACUGAGACACGGCCCAGACUCCUACGGGAGGCAGCAGUGGGGAAUUUUGGACAAUGGGCGAAAGCCUGAUCCAGCCAUGCCGCGUGUCUGAAGAAGGCCUUCGGGUUGUAAAGGACUUUUGUCAGGGAAGAAAGGGUUUGGGUUAAUACCC
RNAcentral lists this ribosomal RNA (455 nucleotides) under uncultured Neisseria sp. RNAcentral's name for it is "bacterial SSU rRNA". It matches the Rfam family "Bacterial small subunit ribosomal RNA", at positions 17 to 468 of the family's 1533-position model. Lineage: Bacteria; Pseudomonadati; Pseudomonadota; Betaproteobacteria; Neisseriales; Neisseriaceae. The record is from RNAcentral.